GACGAGUGGCGGACGGGUGAGUAAUGCUUAGGAAUUUGCCUUUUGGAGGGGGAUAACAGUUGGAAACGACUGCUAAUACCGCAUGAUACCUACGGGUCAAAGGGGGCUUUUAGCUCUCGCCAAGAGAGAAGCCUAAGUGAGAUUAGUUAGUUGGUGGGGUAAUGGCCUACCAAGACGACGAUCUCUAGCUGUUCUGAGAGGAAGAUCAGCCACACUGGGACUGAGACACGGCCCAGACUCCUACGGGAGGCAGCAGUGGGGAAUAUUGCACAAUGGGGGAAACCCUGAUGCAGCCAUGCCGCGUGUGUGAAGAAGGCCUUCGGGUUGUAAAGCACUUUCAGACGUGAGGAAAGGUUGUUGGUUAAUACCCAUCAGCUGUGACGUUAGCGUCAGAAGAAGCACCGGCUAACUCCGUGCCAGCAGCCGCGGUAAUACGGAGGGUGCGAGCGUUAAUCGGAAUUACUGGGCGUAAAGCGCACGCAGGCGGUUGAGUCAGUCAGAUGUGAAAGCCCCGGGCUUAACCUGGGAAUAGCAUUUGAUACUACUCGACUAGAGUUUUGGAGAGGGGAGUGGAAUUCCAGGUGUAGCGGUGAAAUGCGUAGAUAUCUGGAGGAACAUCAGUGGCGAAGGCGACUCCCUGGUCAAAGACUGACGCUCAUGUGCGAAAGUGUGGGUAGCGAACAGGAUUAGAUACCCUGGUAGUCCACACCGUAAACGCUGUCUACUAGCUGUCUGUGUGAUUUAUCACGUGGGUAGCGUAGCUAACGCGCUAAGUAGACCGCCUGGGGAGUACGGCCGCAAGGUUAAAACUCAAAUGAAUUGACGGGGGCCCGCACAAGCGGUGGAGCAUGUGGUUUAAUUCGAUGCAACGCGAAGAACCUUACCAGGACUUGACAUCCAGCGAACUUACUAGAGAUAGUUUGGUGCCUUCGGGA
RNAcentral lists this ribosomal RNA (935 nucleotides) under uncultured bacterium. RNAcentral's name for it is "bacterial SSU rRNA". It matches the Rfam family "Bacterial small subunit ribosomal RNA", at positions 90 to 1025 of the family's 1533-position model. The record is from RNAcentral.